UGUCAUCUCUAACACACGGAAGAACCUCCACAUAAACCCUGAAAUUGUUCAGUAUUCUCUCUCAAACAGCCGUUUGAGUCACCUCAAAUGUAGCAGAGGGCCAGGUUAAAACGGUCCGAUGCACUUCACUUGCAAUGCAGAUCAUCAUUUCUGGACAGCUUUCUACUUACU
Danio aesculapii is the source of this 171-nucleotide long non-coding RNA. RefSeq lists it as uncharacterized. The transcript has 3 exons. NCBI's taxonomy places the organism in Eukaryota, Metazoa, Chordata, Actinopteri, Cypriniformes, Danionidae. The record is from RefSeq and is a predicted model, not a curated record.